Apodemus sylvaticus (European woodmouse) is the source of this 1362-nucleotide non-coding RNA. The record is from the annotation of a RefSeq genome assembly. Lineage: Eukaryota; Metazoa; Chordata; Mammalia; Rodentia; Muridae.
GAGAGAGAAAGGAGGAACUGACUUGUGCUUUCUGACCAAAGAGAUCAGUAUCCUGAGAAGAAGGAUGUGUAACACUGCCCUCCUAGACUCUGCCUGGGGCACCACCUUGCUCUCUUGGGUUGCUGUCUUUCUACUGGGAAUAAGUUCAGCAAAUUCUGAGGUCGUCCAAUCUCCACGACACAUAAUCAAAGAAAAGGGAGGAAGGUCCAUUCUGAAAUGUAUUCCCAUCUCUGGGCAUCUCAGUGUGGCCUGGUACCAACAGACUCAGGGGCAGGAACUAACGUUCCUCAUUCAGCAUUAUGACAAAAUGGAGAGAGACAAAGGAAAUCUGCCGAGCAGAUUCUUAGUCCAGCAGUUCAAUGACUAUCACUCUGAGAUAAACAUGAGUGCCUUGGAAAUGGAGGACUCUGCUGUGUACUUCUGUGCCAGCUCUCUCCACAGCCUUACAGAGCUACUGACUUUCUGUAACUUAAUCUUUCUGUUCCAGCUGGUGAUGUGCUAGAGAGGGGUUGGCUCAUGCCACAAAACCAUAGCCAAGGACUAGAAAUGCUUCUAGCUUGUUACUAAUCCUCAGAUUGCCUAGUUGAGCACACACAGACCAUUCCUAAACAUUGGGCUGGGCCAAGGCCCUCCAGCUAUUCUCAGAUCUCUGCUAAUACCUUCCAGCCCAUAGGCAAUGGCAAGAGACUCUGCUCUUUCAUGGCCAUAGGCAACAUGUUUUAAGACAAGAAUAGGAUUUAAAUAUACCACAUCAAUAAGAAUCAGUAGCCUAUGAAGUUUUACAACAUUUUUUGUUUAAGAACAUAAAGACUAGGAUUGAAAAGUACAUCUCUGUAUCUUCUAAGUCAAGGCUUUGAAUUUUCUUGCUGUUACUCAGUUUGUGUAAAAAAUAUAUAGCAGCUCACAGUUUUCUUGUAUUCUAAGAUCAGUUGGAUUCAAUGUAUAUGUGUGUGUGUGUGUGUGCAUGUGUGUGUGUAUGUGUGUUUGGGGAGAUAAUAGAUUAUAGAUGUAUAAUAUUAAGCCAGAUAAUGCUUGUUUUUCAUAGUUUCAAGGUGAGAUUUACAUUUUCAACAAAGAAAAUUUGCUAGUUAAAAGGAGAUAGUUACACAAAUUCUAUUAUCCCCAAUGAAAUCAGAGUAUUGUUCAGAUGAUUAACAUUACUGGUGGAUCAUACCUUAUUUUGAAAUGAUCCUACAAGCUAUGAAAUUUAAUGUUCUCUGCUCUAAACACCUAAGUAUUAAAUAGAAAGUGCUUUUUCCUUAGACUGACUCUGUCAUGGGUAAUGGCCUUCUUUUUGGUGGCUCUUGAUCUCUAGGAACUAGCCAAGCUUUGGGCGUGGAAGACAAUAUCCUUUCUUGGAAG